Molecule: non-coding RNA, 2898 nt
Organism: Nomia melanderi (Alkali bee)
Lineage: Eukaryota; Metazoa; Arthropoda; Insecta; Hymenoptera; Halictidae
Source: RefSeq, a predicted model, not a curated record
CUUUGGACAUUAGAUCACCGCUGUAAAAGCUGUAGAAUGUCCUUACGUGACACGUGUCUUUUCCAGGUUCGCCGGCACACAGCUGCCACUCGCCUAUGAUGCCACGAGGGAUCUUUGUGUCUUGUGUGAAGCUCCGGUUGCAGGUCGCGUAUGGUAUCGUGUUGAUGGUGACCUUCAGCAGGUCACUGGAGCCAGUCUCGUCCUCUGAGAAGGGAGGGAAUUGGGUGUUCAAGAUGAACAGUUGGCAAUACCUACCCCAAUCAAUCAAGCCCCAACCAGCUGCAAUCGCCAAGUUCACAUUACCGGUGUCCGGCAGGGAGUACGCUAGGCAGCCAGGUCUCACCCAAGCGUUGAAGGUCACUUCCCUUUCCAAUCUCAACAGCCCAAUGUCGUGAUACUCGGCGGGACGUUUGUACUGGGGAUGCCUGAUCCUCUCGGUGACUUUGACCUGCUGCGGUUUCGCGUCGUCGUCGCUCCUCUCCAGGUUCAAGUCUCCCACCCGCACCCAGGAGGCGGCUCCCCUGUUAAAUUUUUAUAAAUUAAACCAGAGGUACUUGGCUGCAGUAGCUGAAGAGUUGCUUAUCACUUAACGCGUUGAAUGUCGCAUUAUUUCAUAGAGCAAACUAUGAUUGAGUUGUUAUUAUUAGUAUCUAUUCAUUCAGCUGAAUGUCAGCCCAUUAGGUAGCACCAUUGUUUUCAAAUAAUCAUUAUUGAAUUGAGUGAACUCUAGUAAUUCGAUUCGGUUGGGUUCACCGGUGAGCCCCAUGGCAUUCAACGCGUUGAGCAAUGAAUUCUACACAUGAAUACAACUGUGGACACGUGCCAGUUGACAUUGGACAGACAGUGAGCCGCGGUGAGCACAAACUUCUCGGAUAUCAAGCUGCCGCCGCAGGACCAAACGACGUCGCCGCCACUGUUGUACCCGACCGCCGCCAUGUGCGGGAACUCCUUGGGAUCAGCCUUCUUGCCUCCGACGAUCAGCUUGCGCGACUUGAUCGCGCACACCGACACGUUCACCGGCUGCGCGUCCACCGCCAGAAUAGGCGGGUACACUAGCUGGUACACCGAUCUCGCGUACUCCUCGCAUUCUGGAACGCAAACGGAACAUGCAACGAUGAAUAUCCGCGCGAACCACCGUUGCAGAUUAGUCGUUCGAGACUCAUAAUUCUCUGUGCGAUAGCUCACUCGCUCUAGCCACGGAUCCCUCGCGAUUCGCGAUUAGGGGUCCAGGACCGGUCUGCUCGGUGGAUGUCGGUGGCCUCCGGGUGGUCGUCGUCGUAGGUCGUUGACCCGUCGGACAACAGACCAGCGCGUCGAAACCCACGUACCCGCACACCUUGGUUGGAGGGUUGCCUUGUAACAAUUGCUGGUACACCGGCGGACAUUGCUGCAGAAUCUUGCACGUGCCCGGCGCAUCGUCUACGACGCACGAGUCGCCUGGGAAUAAAAAUAGAGUCGUCAUUUUCAUGAAUAAUUAUGAUAAGUAAUACAAUGGUCCAUGAUACUCAGAGUAUUUAUAGUUUAGCAAAGACUCGUUGGAUUCUAUCUAGACAUGGAAAAUCCAGGUCGUUACCUUCGAACUCUUGACCACUGGACGUGGAAAUCAGCAGCAACGUCAACGUUACCGACGACAACAACGACGACGGCAUCGUUCGAGAAGCUUCCUCGGUAUCAGCACUCUUUGACCGGUUGAUUGCCACUGCUCCGCGGCUUCUUCGAUCAGAAACUUUUGUAUGCCCCACCACCGCUCCGCGUGGGUCCGCGAGGAGAGCGGGAGAAGGAAACCGCAGGCGCAGGGAAGAACCUGGUUUUUUUUAACGCGUGCUACGAACAGGUUUGGAUACUGGGAACAGGUCUGACGAAGACAAAGAGAGUGCGUUUAGCCUCAUAUAUUUGCAUCGUUUUAUUUUUUCUUUAGAUUUAUGUUAGGCUUGUCAUUACCUUCGUGAGUGCAUGAUCAUCGAAUGGAACGAAAUGAAUGCAUAUAAAUUUUUUAUUUAGCUCCGACUAAAUAAAAGGAUGGAGUUAUGCCUCGAGGGAACGAGGGGUUGAUUCAUUCCAAGCAUGUAAAUUGCUCGAGGAAGGAAAAUAGUUGCCCUGCGUGAUUCACGUACACCAGAGAUAUCUCAAUGGAGCGAAUGACGUACGUUUGAACAAACGCCAAGCAUACCAUUAAUUUGUAUUUGCUGAUUCAUGUUGCAAACGUGAUUCCCGUGUUUCCUUGUAGCUGCAUUUUCGCGCCUUGGGUAUGCAACCGGCUGUACGCGCGUGCGCUUCGGUGUGCCUAGGUACUCAGGCGUUAAUGAUACAAGGUACAUUAUUUUCAGCUACAGUGAAUCGUAUAAAUUGUAACAAUUUAACCAGGCGUUCGCCUUUAACCCUCAGAGAUUGAAUUUAGGUUUAAGGUUCGCUCGACGAAGGUAUAGGAAGGUAUAGGAACGAAUAAAGUGUACAACCAGGUGGUUUAACACAUCCCACCUAAAAAUAUUUUAUUGCUAAUUAGUCUGUUCAAUAACAUGUUUGUAUAUUUACAAAUUAAUUACCCGAAUAAUGCGUACUGUAUAUGAGCAUCUUACGUUAUCCGAUAAAAAUGUAGACGCGUUCCGCUUUGUACAACAAUGAAUACCCGCAGUCGUAUCGAUUAUCAAAUUUAAAAAGACAAAAGAAAAAAAGGAAAACAAAAAGAGAGAAAGAGAGAGAGAGAGACAGAGAGGGAGGGAGAGAGAAAGAAAAUAAAGGAGAUAAUAGUAACAGCAAUUAAUAAUCGAUGGAUAUCGAUAAAAAAUAUGAAUAGUAACAAUAAACACGCGGCACUUAGAGGCUAAUGUCGGGCAUCGAGCGCUAGGAAUAAAAAGAGCAUUCUCAACCUAGGAAUACUACCAAUAUACAAAAAGAAAA